UUUUUAAAUACAUAUCAAAAAUUGCAGGACUGGCAAGAUUCGAACUGCAUCUUCUGGGAAUCGCGCCCGAUGCCUUGA
This is a long non-coding RNA of Maniola jurtina (meadow brown), 78 nucleotides long. RefSeq lists it as uncharacterized. Lineage: Eukaryota; Metazoa; Arthropoda; Insecta; Lepidoptera; Nymphalidae. The transcript has 3 exons. The record is from RefSeq and is a predicted model, not a curated record.